AUUGAACGCUGGCGGCAUGCCUUACACAUGCAAGUCGAACGGCAGCACGGGGGCAACCCUGGUGGCGAGUGGCGAACGGGUGAGUAACGCAUCGGAAUGUACCCAGUAGUGGGGGAUAACUAGUCGAAAGACUAGCUAAUACCGCAUACGCACUGAGGUGGAAAGCGGGGGAUCGCAAGACCUCGCGCUAUUGGAGCAGCCGAUGUCCGAUUAGGUAGUUGGUGGGGUAAAGGCCUACCAAGCCUGCGAUCGGUAACUGGUCUGAGAGGACGACCAGUCACACUGGGACUGAGACACGGCCCAGACUCCUACGGGAGGCAGCAGUGGGGAAUUUUGGACAAUGGGCGCAAGCCUGAUCCAGCAAUGCCGCGUGUGUGAAGAAGGCCUUCGGGUUGUAAAGCACUUUUGGCGGGAGCGAAACGGCGUUUUGCUAAUACCAGACGCUAAUGACGGUACCCGCAGAAUAAGCACCGGCUAACUACGUGCCAGCAGCCGCGGU
This 499-nucleotide ribosomal RNA is filed under the name uncultured bacterium. Its description in RNAcentral is "bacterial SSU rRNA". It matches the Rfam family "Bacterial small subunit ribosomal RNA", at positions 29 to 521 of the family's 1533-position model. The record is from RNAcentral.